This 490-nucleotide ribosomal RNA is filed under the name uncultured bacterium. Its description in RNAcentral is "partial 16S ribosomal RNA". It matches the Rfam family "Bacterial small subunit ribosomal RNA", at positions 30 to 507 of the family's 1533-position model. The record is from RNAcentral.
AUUGAACGCUGGCGGCAGGCCUAACACAUGCAAGUCGAACGGUAACAGGAAGCAGCUUGCUGCUUCGCUGACGAGUGGCGGACGGGUGAGUAAUGUCUGGGAAGCUGCCUGAUGGAGGGGGAUAACUACUGGAAACGGUAGCUAAUACCGCAUAAUGUCGCAAGACCAAAGAGGGGGACCUUCGGGCCUCUUGCCAUCGGAUGUGCCCAGAUGGGAUUAGCUUGUUGGUGGGGUAACGGCUCACCAAGGCGACGAUCCCUAGCUGGUCUGAGAGGAUGACCAGCCACACUGGAACUGAGACACGGGCCAGACUCCUACGGGAGGCAGCAGUGGGGAAUAUUGCACAAUGGGCGCAAGCCUGAUGCAGCCAUGCCGCGUGUAUGAAGAAGGCCUUCGGGUUGUAAAGUACUUUCAGCGGGGAGGAAGGGAGUAAAGUUAAUACCUUUGCUCAUUGACGUUACCCGCAGAAGAAGCACCGGCUAACUCCGUG